CAGCCGCGGGAAUACGUAGGGUGCAAGCGUUAAUCGGAAUUACUGGGCGUAAAGCGUGCGCAGGCGGUUAUAUAAGACAGAUGUGAAAUCCCCGGGCUCAACCUGGGAACUGCAUUUGUGACUGUAUAGCUAGAGUACGGCAGAGGGGGAUGGAAUUCCGCGUGUAGCAGUGAAAUGCGUAGAUAUGCGGAGGAACACCGAUGGCGAAGGCAAUCCCCUGGGCCUGUACUGACGCUCAUGCACGAAAGCGUGGGGAGCAAACAGGAUUAGAUACCCCAGUAGUCCCUGUCUCUUAUACACC
This 301-nucleotide ribosomal RNA is filed under the name uncultured bacterium. RNAcentral's name for it is "partial 16S ribosomal RNA". It matches the Rfam family "Bacterial small subunit ribosomal RNA", at positions 512 to 810 of the family's 1533-position model. The record is from RNAcentral.